RNAcentral lists this long non-coding RNA (4165 nucleotides) under Homo sapiens (human). RNAcentral's name for it is "HSALNT0386147". The record is from RNAcentral. Lineage: Eukaryota; Metazoa; Chordata; Mammalia; Primates; Hominidae.
UCUCGAACUCUUGACCUCAGGAGAUCCACCCACCUCAGCCUCCCAAAGUGCUGGGAUUACAGGUGUGAGCCACUGCACCCGGCCAAGAACGUGACUUUUGAUUUUCCCAGUAUUUGGAGUGGGUGGGCUGCUUCUGCUGUUGCCAUUGGUGGCCAAAGGUAACAACAGUAUAUUUUGCUGUAGCAGAUUUUACAGAGAUGAAACCAUCUUGCCACUUCUAUUCUUAAUAACUGUGUCCAUCUUUCCUCUCUGCAGAGAUGAAAUUGCCAAAGAGUCAGAAGCUCCUCCAGGCUUAGCCAGCUUUCACCUUUGCUCAUCAUACAUCUAUGGGGCUCCUCUUAACUCACAGAUGGGCUAGCGCCUGUUUUCAGCCUUUAUCCUGAUCCUUCGUAUCUCCAUGCCCGCUCCAUGUCUCUCUCUCCAAUGUCUCUUAUCUCUGUCUUGCUUAACUGGGACCAGUUCUUCCCCCUCCCUCUUUCAGUUUCCAAAGAUCAUCUCCUGCCAGAUCUUGGCCUAAAGUUAACUUGAUUCUCUGGCCUCGCUUACAGAAGCCGAACUGCUCUAAACCACCUUUGGUGGCAGUGACUCCUUCCUGAAUGAGGUCAGGCACUCGAAAAAUUGAUAGGCGACACUCACUCUGGGGCUUCUCACAUAUAUUCCUCAGUCGGGAAUGGUAAAGGUCCCCCCAUUCAGGGACUUCAAUUUUGUGACAGAGAAAAAGACAAAUUUGACUGUCAACAUUUGUUGGGCUCCAAGGAAGUUACACGUGUAACUGAGCUAUUUCAGAUCUCUAUUUGUCAAGCCCAGUGUUCACUGUGGGUUUCCUUACAUCCCUCCCCUGCCCAAACCCCUGCCUUCGAGAAACAGUCUACAAAAAAAGCAUUUACCCUCUGAGGAUUGCUUUGUAAUUAAAAUUUUACAAAUGCCAAAUAAACAAGGGCAUUUUUGAAAUGUAAAUUUGUCAUUUUUCGUAAGCAACUUAAAUCAACUCCACCUGCCUUGAGACUGGUUUCUCCUUCAGCACAAAGCCACGUGCUCCUAGGUUCUCUUUUGGCUCCUGCAGCUCCGAUUCCCCGUGCACUUAGAUCCUGGUGUCGGUUUUUUUUUUCCUUGAACACUUUCUGCAGUUUAGUUAUUUGUUGUAAUUAUCAAGUUCAUUUUUCUCUAAUAGAUGUGAUUAAGUAUAUUUAGCACUGUGUAAUGAGUUUUCUGCCUGGUUGCAUCUUAGCUAAUAAGGAAUUCCUUAGCGGCAACUCUGACAGCUGCUACGAGUCCCAGGUCUGCGCUGCCACAAGAGACUCCUUCCAUGAACUGCUAGCAUUAGAGAAAUUAACUCCAUUACACUAACCAUAAAAUUGAGGCUGAAAUUUGAUUACUAAUAGAUCCUCAAUUCAACUAGAAACUGUAGAAACGGGGUGGUGCCAGUGGGGAGGAAGGUGAACGCGUGUGAAAUGCCAGCAUCCACAUUUUCAUCAGUGUGUGUGUUCACCACACUUCCAAUUUAUUUCCUGGGCAGGAAGGAGAGAAUAGAGCCAAGCUGAUGGAAUUAAAACUGCGUGAUUCAGCCGGUAUAAGACUGGAAAUCUUUGUUACUGCCAUGAUGGUAAUACCUUGUUAUUAGUGCCUCUGUCUUCGCUGAGCUGAGAAACCUCCCGGUGUGUUUUUGGCCAUCAAAACUACUUGCCAUUGUCACCGGUAGUCCAGAUUUGUAAGGCUAAAGUGCUGAGGACAAUUAGUAAUUGGUGACUGGCUGCUAUGAUGUAUAGUUGCUUAGCAACGGUGCCUGAAUUAAGUCUCUGGAAGUGGCAUACAGGAAGAGACAAGACAGGAAGAUGAAAUAGGUACCAUUUCAAUGUGUAGGUGAGUCAGUAAUGAAAAAGGAGUGAAAGAUAUUUGUAAUCAUAGAGACGGCUGAGUGGAAAAUUGGGGCUAAAGGAAAGAAAAGGCGGAACUUAGUUCCUCUCUUGCGAAGUAAAAUAAGAGUAAAUGGCAGUUGAAUCACCCCAUUGAUACAAGAGCUCAUUCUCUUUCUUUGACACUAUACUGUGAACCCAAUGCUAGCUGAACUCAGGGUGCAUUAUUUACCCAAAAGGCAGCAUGAAAAUUCAUGGAAGGAAGAGAUGGAGAAUGAAGUUGCACUGGCUUGAAGUCUUUAGAACAAGAUUAAUUUAGCUUCCGUUAGUUCAUACCAGCGAACUAGGAUUAAGUGGGCGACAGGGCCCAGGUUUGAUUCAGCCCUGCUUGCAAUACUGGGUGGAACUGGUGCUCUGAUAUACUGAUGUUCAGUCUUGCUCUGUUUGGAGUAGAGAAGUAUCUUGAAGAGGCCACGAACAGCAUAUUCAUUUCAUUAGACUUGGCUGUUUUGAGACUCUGAGCAGACUAAGAUAUCACCCUGAACUACAUGAUUUAGUGAGCUGGUUUAGCCUCUGGAAGGCCAGAUGAGCAAAAGAAAGUGGAAAAGCAGUACAAGACCUUGAUCCAGAUACUGAGCCUUGUUAAGGGACUGCCUUAUCUAUGGCAACGAGCUAUGUCUAGAGGUCUGCAAAGGUGCAGGGGCUGUUUUGCAAUUAGUGUUGAAACACUGAGAUAAAGAAAGGAUAUAUAGGAAUUAAAAAGAGAUAACGUAAACACUAACAAAGAGUCUUAAUCCCCUCGGCUGAGUGUUUUGCAUGUUUACCUCUGAUCAGAAUUCUUAAUAAUUUUGAGUGUGUUCCAACUCAAUAAAAAUUCCCUAGGAAGAAACAAGUCGAUUCUUGGAUUAAAAAACAAAACAGAAACAGAAAAAUGUAUGCCCAUGUCUAUUAUUUUAAAAAUAAAAAUUAAGGAAAUUAAAUGACACAGGAAGGUUUUGUUUGGGUUUAGUUUGGUUCAGCCUACUCAUGGGCACAAUUCAGUCCCCCAUUAUCUACUGAUUAGCAGGAUAUCUUUAGGGCUCAGAAAGCAGGUUUUCUGUCUCUACCGAUGGCUUGUUUUCUGGCUGAAGAAUGAAGGUGUUUUGAUACAAAGUUAUUAUUGUUCAAUUGAGAAAGUCUUUGCCCUCCUGGCCUGAAGUUCCCCACUGGAGAGAGGAAGCUGAUAACAAUCUCUGGUUCUUUCCUAGUACCUAUAAAGGGCUCAUCCUCACUUACAAUAGAGCACUGUAUUUUCAGGACAAUGUAUAAUUAUUUGGGAAGAAGCCAAAAUGAUGACUAGUGCGUAACAAUAGCAUGCAUGAUAUCACAAUCUGUCUAAUGGCUGAUGGUUCCAGUUUAAAUAUCUUAAGCUAAGGGUGCUCCGUGCUCUCACAUUCAUUCCCACAGUCCCACCACUGCUGUCCCUUAGCCAGUUCUACAUUGUGAGCAACCCUAUGGAGAAGCCCUUAAGUUGCUGAAGCCUCCAGCCAACAGCCAUGUCGCUGAUUUUGGAAGGCGAUUUUGGAAGCUUAUCUCCCAGACCAAAUCAAGCCUCAGGUGACUGCAGCCCCAGCUGAAACAUUGAUUGCAUUCUUAUGAGAAACCCUAAAACCAGAGCCAUCAGCUCCCAAAUUCCUGACCCACAGAAACUGUGAAAUAAUAAUGUUUGUUGUUUUAACCUGUUCAUUUUUGGAGGUAAUUUGUUACCCGGCAUUAGGUAAUGAAUAUACUGGCCAAUUACCACAUGUAUCGAUUCAUUUAUUUAUUCAUUCAGUAGGCAUUGAAUGACAACUUUGCCAGGGACUGUGCUAGAUGCUAGGGAUACCAAGACAAAUAAAGCAAGGUCCCUGCCUUCAAAGAACUCACAGUCUAGGAGAGUGAGAUGGACACGGAGUCAGAGAACACUGAAGGUUGGUUUAUGAGCAGCAGGCAUACAAAGGAGGAAGCUGGAGUGGAAGGAGCCGUAAAAUUGACAAAGUGGUCUCUAAUAUAACCCUCCCCAGACACACAUACAAAUACAACACUUUCUUCCUAACUUUCACUUAGCUUAGCUGUAGACAGUUCCAGCAAACCUUGUUUAGCACUGCUCCGUGCUACAUUGACUCCUUAUGGAGCUGGCUGACCACUGUGGAAGAGAGAGCACUAUCCUACAUUCUCAGCCCUUGGCUGUGGGCAUCCCAUGAUCAACGUGACUCAGUUUGAGUGACUCUUGCCAGUCUGUCAGUUUUCUUUCCUCUUCCCUGGUCUCUCUGUCAUUAACACCCUAUUACCUA